GCUCUCUCCCAGAAUUCCCCUUGUUUGCCUGCGGCGUUGUAACGAUGGAGCCGCCGGCUCAGUGUUUCCACGCUCUCUCCCAGAAUUCCCCUUGUUUGCCUGCGGCGUUGUAACGAUGGAGCCGCCGGCUCAGUGUUUCCACGCUCUCUCCCAGCUCCUCACCAGAUGGGUUGGCAGCAAUGAUGAUGAUGACGCUCAUCUUGCGUCAUUCGAGAUUGCCCAACUGGGAUAUUGUAUCAGCAUCAGUCUGACCUAAUGGGUCCAACGUGUUGCCGUCAAUUGUAGUUAUCAUUUGUUUGACGCUAAAAUUGUCUCUAUGUGGCCCCUGGAAAAACUUUUUAGUCGGCUUCUGAUUCCUUCUGUCGUGACCGGAAGAACAGGAGGCUUUCUCACCUUCUGGAGCAAGAGGCUGGUCCAGGAUCACUUUCUUCCCAGAGCCGGAAUCAGCGUUUUCUGACUCCAAGGAGCACUGGCACCCUGUAAUGGGAAGUGGUAUUUAGAGAUCACAAUCCGAGUGCCUAGUGAUCCUCACUGCUUCUGGGUGAGAUGUUAUUU
This 555-nucleotide long non-coding RNA is filed under the name Homo sapiens (human). Its description in RNAcentral is "HSALNT0157754". The record is from RNAcentral. Lineage: Eukaryota; Metazoa; Chordata; Mammalia; Primates; Hominidae.